This 403-nucleotide ribosomal RNA is filed under the name Papilio bootes janaka. RNAcentral describes it as "partial 16S ribosomal RNA". Lineage: Eukaryota; Metazoa; Arthropoda; Insecta; Lepidoptera; Papilionidae. The record is from RNAcentral.
GGGCUGCAGUAUUUUGACUGUACAAAGGUAGCAUAAUCAAUAGUCUCUUAAUUGGUGACUUGUAUGAAAGAUUGGAUGAAAUAUAUACUGUCUCUGGUUAAUUUAUAGAAAUUAAUUUUUUAGUAAAAAAGCUAAAAUAAUUUUAAAAGACGAGAAGACCCUAUAGAGUUUAAUAAUUUAUUUAAUUAUUAUUAAUAUAUAAUUUUUAAAAUUAAAAUUAAAUAAAUUAUUUUGUUGGGGKGACAGAAAAAUUAAAUUAACUUUUUUUAAUUAUUUACAUUAAUUUAUGGUUAAAUGAUCCAUUUAUAAUGAUUAAAAGAAAAAAUUACCUUAGGGAUAACAGCGUAAUUUUUUUUUUUAGUUCAAAUAGGAAAAAAAGUUUGCGACCUCGAUGUUGGAUUAA